UACGUAGGUGGCGAGCGUUGUCCGGAAUUACUGGGUGUAAAGCGCGUGUAGGCGGCAGGCCAAGUCGGUGGUGAAAGCGCCCGGCUCAACUGGGCGAGGUCCAUGGAAACUGGUCAGCUGGAGGACGGUAGAGGCGAGUGGAAUUCCUGGUGUAGCGGUGGAAUGCGUAGAGAUCCGGAAGAACACCGGUGGCGAAGGCGGUUGCCUGGAGCUUUGCUGACGCUGAGGCGCGAAAGCGUGGGGAGCGAUCCGG
Molecule: ribosomal RNA, 253 nt
Filed under: uncultured bacterium
Lineage: Bacteria
Description: partial 16S ribosomal RNA
Rfam family: Bacterial small subunit ribosomal RNA
Source: RNAcentral